UACAGAGGGUGCAAGCGUUAAUCGGAAUUACUGGGCGUAAAGCGUGCGUAGACGGUUAUGUAAGUCGGGUGUGAAAGCCCCGGGCUCAACCUGGGAAUGCCAUUCGAGACUGCAUAGCUAGGGUGCGGAAGAGGGAAGCGGAAUUUCCGGUGUAGCGGUGAAAUGCGUAGAUAUCGGAAGGAACACCAGUGGCGAAGGCGGCUUCCUGGUCCAGCACCGACGUUCAGGCACGGAAGCGUGGGGAGCAAACAGG
Molecule: ribosomal RNA, 253 nt
Filed under: uncultured bacterium
Lineage: Bacteria
Description: partial 16S ribosomal RNA
Rfam family: Bacterial small subunit ribosomal RNA
Source: RNAcentral